ACCAGCUGGGUGGGCUUUGGUUCAAGGACACCGUCAACCAGCAGCCCUUCAGCGAGGGAGCCGGGGGACUCCAACCCUGAGCUCCCUGAAUUCCUGUCAUUGGAUUUCUUCCUGAUGCCUCCCACAGACCAAACACAGGAAGCCGGAGGGUGAGGAACCCAACAACGCAGUCAGCACACUGAGUACGAAGGUCAGGCUCUAACGCCAGCUGCGUGGCAGACAGGCAGAGGACGGGCGGAGCCUUCGUCAAGGGAUCCGGCACGAUGUGCAGUGCGGCACUGCUGUCUUAGAUAUCGGAAGCCGCCUGCGUCCAAUGCUAGGGGAUUUGCUGAGCAACUAAUCAUAGGUUCAUGUCUUAGACUAUAAUGAACCAUUGGAAAUUCAGUUUUGGAAGCAUUGUUUAUUAAGAUAAAAGAUGUUCAUCAUAUAUUGUUGAGUGAAACAGAAUUUUCUGUCCAGUUUUCUGCCCGUUUUUGGCUGUGAAUUUCAAGUGCCUGGAAGAGCGUACACUCCAACGUGAGCAGAACUUCUCUGGGGACGUGAGAUGCCACACUCUCAACAGGCGUAACUUUGCUUCUCUGUACACUCCACUUUUCCUACAGCGUGUGAUAAAAAAUUAAAUUUCUCUUUAGAAAAAUGAGAAAGAUGGCAUGACCCCAGAUGAGGGCUGUGAGUUAAAUCGGUGCUAUUCUUAACACUGAUCAGGAAGAUUCCUUAAAAAUUCCAUUAGAAGCCAGUUUCAUCUAUGAACAUAAUUGCAAGAUUCUUGACCAAAAUUCCAGUAAAGAACUGAGAAAUAACCUGGAAUUCCUGGCCAGUGCUCCUCAGCUGUCCUGAGCCGCCUCCUCCCCCCUCCCCGGGUGCAGCCCACACCUAAGUCCCCAGGGAAGCUCUCCAUCCUGCCUGCCUGAUGCGAUUCUCUUCGGACAUUGUGUAACCUCCCUCCGGCACUGAGUGUAUUCUGCUUGGCAGCGCAGCGCUCCGCGGUCUGUCUUCGGCAGGGACAGUCACCAUGCCCCCGUGCUGACGUCAGCUUCUUCAUGUGUGGUCUCCUCUCUGCCUGGGCCCCUUCCCCAGACGUCCCUGGGACUGUGUCCCCUGCUGCGGCCAUCGCUCCCGGACACCCUAGCGAGGUAACACUGACCCUCCCCACUCCUGUCCCCUUUGCUCAACUCCAAAGAUCUGUCAUCGGUGGGGUACCCAUGUGUGAGCCCAUUGUCCUCUUUCACUGCAGUGUGCCCCACGAGGAAGCGGGGUACCCACGUGUGAGCCCAUUGUCCUCUCUCACUGCAGUGUGCCCCACGAGGAUGUGGGGUACCCGUGUGUGUGUGUCCACUGUCCUCUCUCACUGCAGUGUGCCCCACGAGGAAGCGGGGUACCCACGUGUGAGCCCAUUGUCCUCUCUCACUGCAGUGUGCCCCACGAGGAUGUGGGGUACUCGUGUGUGUGUCCACUGUCCUUUCUCACUGCAGUGUGCCCCACGAGGAAGCGGGGUACCCACGUGUGAGCCCAUUGUCCUCUCUCACUGCAGUGUGCCCCACGAGGAAGUGGGGUACCCACGUAUGUGUCCAUUGUCCUCUCUCACUGCAGUGUGCCCCACGAGGAUGUGGGGUACUCGUGUGUGUGUCCACUGUCCUUUCUCACUGCAGUGUGCCCCACGAGGAAGCGGGGUACCCACGUGUGAGCCCAUUGUCCUCUCUCACUGCAGUGUGCCCCACGAGGAAGUGGGGUACCCACGUAUGUGUCCAUUGUCCUCUCUCACUGCAGUGUGCCCCACGAGGAUGUGGGGUACCCGUGUGUGUGUGUCCACUGUCCUCUCUCACUGCAGCGUGCACCCCAGCACAGGAGCUGAGAACUGAGGCUGCGUCUCCCCCAGGAGCCAUCACCACUGCCUCCCAGGGUGCACCAUGGUGGGAAGCCAGAGCCAGGGACAGGGCCGGGUGUGGACGUGACAUUGCUAGGGCAAACGCCCACCGCUCUAAUUUACGUGACAGAGCAGAGACAUUCAGGCAGCUGUUCUGGAGCCCAGGGCGGGCUGUCAGCAUUACCCCCUCUGCCUCCAGCCCCCUCCCCCGGGCCUUCAGUCAGUCCUUCUCCCUCCGGACCCCGGCCCAGCCCUCAGAACUGGGCGGCCCAGGUCAGGACGGCAAGUGGAGGCUCGUCCAGCAGACGUAGAAACAGCAGCAGCUACGUGCGAAGCAAGCAGCCUGUUCAGAAAAACAGGUCUCUUCCCUUGGCACAUACAGGGCCACCGGCAGAACUCUCAGCCCCCUGGAGCUGUGACCAGGAACGUGGCUUCCAGGUCGCCAGUGACCCCACCCAGAGCUGCCCCGCCCUCCUCCUCCCACCCCUGGUUCUUUGCUGCCCUCCUGCCGCAAAGCAAGCUUCACAUGGACAUGUGGACACCCCACACGUCCAUCCAAGGGCCACCUCUGCCUGCAAGCGGCCACCCUUGGGGCCACACGUCCCGGCUUUGGCCUACCCUCGGAGGACGCACUAUUGGAAGAGACCGGUGGCCUGGAGGGUGAGCCCGGGCCUGCAGGGGCAGGGUUCUGCAUGCUGGGCACCCGAGUGGGAGGGGCAUGGGCUCCUGGGGGGAGGGUUCCCUGGCCUUGCAGACCGCUUGUCCUGUGGGGAGUGGUGCAGCUGGAGAAGCUGAGUGGGGCUCUCAGACACCGGGCCUGGCACUGCGGUGCGGCGCCGCUGCUGUUCCCCACCAGCACAGGUUUGAGUCCCAGCUGUUCCCCCUGCUACCCAGCUCCCUGCUAAUGCGCCUGGGAAAGUGUUGGAGGAUGGCCCAAGUCCUUGGGCCCCUGCCACACACGGGAGAUCUGGAUGAGGUACCUGGCUCCUGGCUUCAGCCUGGCCCGGUCCUGGUUGUUGGGCCAUUUGGAGAGUGACCCAGCAGACAGAAGAUCUGUCUUUCUGUUUCUCCCUGUAAGUCUGCCCCUCAAAUAAAUAAAUAAAUCUUUUUAAAAAAAAUAUUUAUUUAUUUAUUUUUGACAGGCAGAGUGGACAGUGAGAGACAGAGACAGAGAGAAAGGUCUUCCUUUUGCCGUUGGUUCACCCUCCAAUGGCCGCUUCGGCCGGCGCACCGUGCUGAGUCGAAGGCAGGAGCCAGGUGCUUCUCCUGGUCUCCCAUGGGGUGCAGGACCCAAGCACUUGGGCCAUCCUCCACUGCACUCCCGGGCCACAGCAGAGAGCUGGCCUGGAAGAGGGGCAACCGGGACAGAAUCCGGAGCCCCGACCGGGACUAGAACCCAGUGUGCCAGCGCCACAAGGCAGAGGAUUAGCCUAUUGAGCUGCGGCGCCAGCCUAAAUAAAUAAAUCUUACAAAAAAAAAAAAAAAAAAAAAAAAAAGUUGGGGCCUAUCUGGCCUUGGUCCGAGGGUAGUUCUGGCCCUACCUCUGCUCUCUGCGGUCCAGACUGGUAGUCUGUUGAGGCGCUCAUCCUGCCCCUGCCCCCGGAGUCUGUGUGGUUUAACAGGAAAAAAGGCACCAGAGCGCCCCAGCUGGAGGUGAACCUCGGGAAAGAAACUCACCUCUCUGGCUGCUCCCGUACCUAGAACAUGAGGGCUGGUGAGGCAGCCCCUGCCUGGAUUCUUGUGUUCUCUCUGCUAUCCUUUCACACCAACAGGGGUCAGGUGCUGGAUGUGCUGCACAAUUUGGUAGCCAUGCCCUAAGGCUUUGUCUAAUCCUUCCUGAGACAGCAGCAUGUGUAGCUGGGGGCACGCAUGCCCACGCCCACGCCCACGCGCACACCCACGCGCACGCGCACCCUCUCCUGCCUUGAGCUGCUCACCCUUGUGUGCUUCAGUGUCGCAUGGACACGGAGCCCUGCAGCCGUCUUCCUGACAGAGGCAGGGUGCUCCACCCCGACAGAAGUCACACUUAGCUUUGUGCUUGCAGACCUGGGACACUAAGGAAUCCUAGGGACCUCGCUUCCUAUACAGAGUUGGUGCUUACGAGUCAUUGCUGUCAUCUCUAAUUGUGAUUCUGGACGGAACUGUGCCAUAACGGGUUAGGCUGACGCCUGCAGCACCAGCAUCCCAUAUGGAUCCAGCUCCCUGCUGUGGCCUGGGGAAGAAUAGAAGAUGGCCCAAGUGCUUGUGCCCCUGCACUCACGUGGGAGACCGGGAAGAAGCUCCUGGUUCCUGGCUUCAGAUCGGCUCAGCUCCCUCUGUUUUGGCCAUUUGGGGAGUGAACCAGUGAGUGGAAGAUCCUCUCUCUGUCUCUCCCUCUGUCUAUA
Molecule: long non-coding RNA, 4248 nt
Organism: Lepus europaeus (European hare)
Lineage: Eukaryota; Metazoa; Chordata; Mammalia; Lagomorpha; Leporidae
Exons: 3
Source: RefSeq, a predicted model, not a curated record